Molecule: long non-coding RNA, 1776 nt
Organism: Pseudophryne corroboree (corroboree frog)
Lineage: Eukaryota; Metazoa; Chordata; Amphibia; Anura; Myobatrachidae
Exons: 4
Source: RefSeq, a predicted model, not a curated record
UGAGGUAGUCUGGUGACUUUCAGUAUAUUACACAAUUCAUGGGAGUAUUUUCAUGAUGUUUGUUGCUUGAGGGAGAUUACUGUGAAAGGAACUAUGGGGGUGGCGACUGCAUGUAUUAAAGACAAAUACAAUAAUAUGAGAUGGACAUGGAAAGAAGUGCAAGAAUCAUUUUGGAGGGAUGGUUCCAUGAAAAGUCAACUUUAGAGGUGUUCUCUCCUUCCAGAGAUGUACAAGUCUGUAUAAACCUUGCUGAUGAUUCAGUUCAUCAGGGAUCAGUGGAAAAAGUACAGGUUACGCACAGACACUUCGGUUACGGCGUCCCGACUGCUGCUUAGCAACAGAGCAGCUUCGUCAUCCCGAGCCGCACGCGUACGUCAUCACACAGUGCCGCUCAGGCCGCGCACCGGGAUCACGGGCGGCCGCACUCUGGUGGUUUGGCGGGCUUCCUCUCCUUAUAGGGCUUCGGUGAAGAACUUGAAGAUGGAGGAGAAGCUCUUCCACGAAGUCAGCUCAUGACGCUCCGUUCCUGGGGAGAGAAGACAGAAAAGCAGUGACUGACUGAGACGUGGGAACAUCCUUGUAAGAAGAGAGAAUUCCUCUGCUAGUGGUCAGUAACAAAAACGGGCAGAAGGGUCUUUAUGGCUAAAGACAGAAAGUGACUGAAAGGUCGUUUUGUGACCCAUAUUGAAGAAAACCCAGAGGAUGAACGUGACAGCUGCCAAAAAAAUGUCUCUCUUAACAUUGAUAUUAAUAAUAAUAAUAAUUUUAUUUAUAUAGCACUCUUUCUCCAACAGGACUGAAGGCGCUUUACAGAAAUAAAAAGCAAUGCACAAAAUACAGAAGAUUUAAGUAAUAAAGCAAUAGAUAAGCCACACAGACAUAAACGAAAACCUUGAGUGUGCAGUAAGUAUAAUGCAGGAUUGGUGUAGGCAUUUUGUGUGAUAACUUCCAAGGAUUGUGUAUUCCACCCUCACAAGGUACCAGGUGCGACAGCCAUCUUGGGCGCACUGUGUAGGAUUACCCAGGGUGGAAUAGUCUACCCCUAGAAGAGAUAACACAAAAUGGGGAGAUUGCAGAGCCCUAAAAUUCAGGUGCAUGUAUUUUUCAUCCCAUCCACAAGUGCACCAGAUGAGGCAGCCAUGUUGGGUGCACUAGGAAGGUUACACUGUGGGAGAUGAGCCAUACAAGGGCCAAAUGCAUGUAUGGGAAAACUGACUCGUGUGUAGUAGUAUGCUAUACCCUGCAUGGAAAUCGGAGUACCCAGAGAAAACCCACGCAAGUACAGGGAGAAUAUACAAAUUCCACUCAGUUAGGGCCAUGGUGGGAAUGGAACCCAUGACCUCAAUGCUGUGAGGCAGUAAUGCUAACCAUUACACCGUCCGUACUCUUAACAAAUCAUCUUUCUUGUAUUCUAUUCAUUGUUGUUAUUAUUCUUAUUAUGAUGAUGAUUCUUAUUUUUUAUAAUACAUGGUCUUUAUUUUAAAUAUAAAAAAAAAUGCACAUGGCAUAGUAAUCAUAUUAUCAGACAAAUAAAGAAAUAUAGUCAUAGUAAGAAAAAGAGAAAAACUCCUCUUAUUAACCAUGUAGAAAUGCUUCAGCAGAUUACUAUCAUACGGUCCAGCCCACACAAUGCCAUAUUGCUUACAGUCAGAUUGCUCUCCAAUAUCUUAGAACGCCAAUAUUCUACAAAGUUUAUUUACACUUGUAAAAACAAUGGGAAGGAUUCAGUAAGGCUUCAGCUGACACAAUAAAGUGACACUAAAUGAGGAGACUGAA